UAGGGAAUCUUCCGCAAUGGACGAAAGUCUGACGUAGCAACGCCGCGUGAGUGAUGAAGGCUUUCGGGUCGUAAAACUCUGUUGUUAGGGAAGAACAAGUGCUAGUUGAAUAAGCUGGCACCUUGACGGUACCUAACCAGAAAGCCACGGCUAACUACGUGCCAGCAGCCGCGGUCAUACGUAGGUGGCAAGCGUUCUCCGGAAUUAUUGGGCGUAAAGCGCGCGCAGGUUGUUUCUUAAGUAUGAUGUGAAAGCCCACGGCUCAACCGUGGAGGGUCAUUGGAAACUGGGAGACUGGAGUGGAGAAGAGGAAAGUGGAAUUCCAUGUGUAGCGGUGAAAUGCGUAGAGAAAUGGAGGGACACCGGUGGCGAAGGCGGCUGUCUGGUCUGUAACUGACACUGAGGCGCGAAAGGGUGGGGAGCAAACAGG
RNAcentral lists this ribosomal RNA (430 nucleotides) under Bacillota bacterium. RNAcentral describes it as "Firmicutes bacterium partial 16S ribosomal RNA". It matches the Rfam family "Bacterial small subunit ribosomal RNA", at positions 355 to 776 of the family's 1533-position model. Lineage: Bacteria; Bacillati; Bacillota. The record is from RNAcentral.